UCAGUAACGCCCGAAGUCAGGUGACCCAACCGAACAGGAGGGAGCUGCCGAAGGUGGGACCGAUAACUGGGGUGAAGUCGUAACAAGGUAAC
Molecule: ribosomal RNA, 92 nt
Filed under: uncultured bacterium
Lineage: Bacteria
Description: partial 16S ribosomal RNA
Source: RNAcentral